Molecule: long non-coding RNA, 1432 nt
Organism: Cebus imitator (Panamanian white-faced capuchin)
Lineage: Eukaryota; Metazoa; Chordata; Mammalia; Primates; Cebidae
Exons: 2
Source: RefSeq, a predicted model, not a curated record
CCGGGAGCUCAGCCAAACGUGUCCUGCGUCCCCUAUGGCGCUUUCCGCGUCCCACAGCGCACCCACCCGGCCUGGAGGUACAUCUUGCAGAACUGAACUUCCUGCCUGAAAGGAGACUUUGCAGAGGGAUUAGCCAUCAGUAGCCAUCUGGUCUUAGAGGGUGCUUGGAGUGCUCCAUCAGGCCCAUUGGCCACUUCCCUGGAUCCCCACAGGAAUUCACUGGGAACGAGUCAUAUGCUGCUUUGUACUUAGAUGCUUCCUUGUGUACAUUUUGCUUUCAAAAGAAGUAGCCAGCCCAUUAUGGACAGGAACUAUGUCUUACUCUUUUGCCAUCCCUCACCUCGGGCAGCACUGCCAAGAGCAUUCACAGUAACCGUGGAACUCUGGAUUGAAUGACAGCUUGAGUAAGUUCCUGAUGUAGCCAGGGCCUUAGCAGUUGGAACCUGGCUUCUGCAAUACUCAAGUAGUCCUAGUGAAUUACACAACUGUGGAACCCCCUGUGUACAACCCUGAAGUGGGUCAGAACUCCACACUGUGCAUAAAGAGGAAAGCUGUCCCACACCUCCAGUUCUUGCCAGCCAGGGCCUUCUCCAGGGCAGGCUCCUCCAGCCUGAGGCACUUGGACUCUUAUCCCCUGGAAUGAUGAGAGAUGCUGAGGGCCUCAGAUUCUGAGGCUGCGGUUUCUGUGAGGGCAGACGCCCCAGAGGAGCCAGCAGCCAGCAAACCAGCUGCCAGUCUAGCAUAUUUCAUGAUGAAGUAAAGCUGCAGGCAGGAUCACACCUCAUGAACCUACCAGGCAUGCACACCUCCACAGCCAAGUUCUGCCUGAACCACCACCUCACGGCACUAAUGGGCAAGGGGGCGUACGUGGGGUUCACACGACAUAGGUCUGCUUGUGUGUGUCUUCCAGUUGUUGAAAUGAUUGGUUAUAAAUAGAAUUCACUGAAGGAUGAAGAGCUGAAAGGUUUACUUAUUGAAGUUUUCCUUUACUAUGACGCUGGAAACUCAAGAGAAGGGGAAUUUCACCUUCACUUAGUAAGUGGAUUUUCUCUAACCACUGGAUUUAUACGGUGUCUGUCAACCCAAUCCUGUGAGUCUUGUGGAGUCUUAGAUGUGGCUAGGGGACAGAUGUUAUCUUAACUUCAUAGAGGUAUGAAUUCAACAGGGAAGUCUAAGGAAACACCCUCCUUUGUGGAAGGCAACAAUGGCAUGGGAGCCACCCUCUGGGGCAAAGGUGCAGCCUGACAUUCUCUGCAGAAUUACACAAUGAGUUAAAAGUGUGAACUUCAUGUCUAAGAUAUAGCUCCACCCCAUGUGAUCCUGGGAAAAUUUCUCAACUUCACCAAGCCUCUGUUUCUUCACCUGUAGACUGAAGGUAAUAAUAAUGUGUGUGGAAUAGGGUUAGUGAAAUAAAGUACUUUUAACAUGCCUG